UGUUUGAUGUUCUAACGUGGACCCGUGAUCCGGGUUGCGGACAGUGUCUGGUGGGUAGUUUGACUGGGGCGGUCUCCUCCUAAAGAGUAACGGAGGAGCACGAAGGUUGGCUAAUCCUGGUCGGACAUCAGGAGGUUAGUGCAAUGGCAUAAGCCAGCUUGACUGCGAGCGUGACGGCGCGAGCAGGUGCGAAAGCAGGUCAUAGUGAUCCGGUGGUUCUGAAUGGAAGGGCCAUCGCUCAACGGAUAAAAGGUACUCCGGGGAUAACAGGCUGAUACCGCCCAAGAGUUCAUAUCGACGGCGGUGUUUGGCACCUCGAUGUCGGCUCAUCACAUCCUGGGGCUGAAGUAGGUCCCAAGGGUAUGGCUGUUCGCCAUUUAAAGUGGUACGCGAGCUGGGUUUAGAACGUCGUGAGACAGUUCGGUCCCUAUCUGCCGUGGGCGCUGGAGAACUGAGGGGGGCUGCUCCUAGUACGAGAGGACCGGAGUGGACGCAUCACUGGUGUUCGGGUUGUCAUGCCAAUGGCACUGCCCGGUAGCUAAAUGCGGAAGAGAUAAGUGCUGAAAGCAUCUAAGCACGAAACUUGCCCCGAGAUGAGUUCUCCCUGAGACUUAGAGUCUCCUGAAGGAACGUUGAAGACGACGA
Molecule: ribosomal RNA, 645 nt
Filed under: Salmonella enterica
Lineage: Bacteria; Pseudomonadati; Pseudomonadota; Gammaproteobacteria; Enterobacterales; Enterobacteriaceae
Also listed under: 1 other name
Description: partial 23S ribosomal RNA
Rfam family: Bacterial large subunit ribosomal RNA
Source: RNAcentral